Cyprinus carpio (common carp) is the source of this 3190-nucleotide long non-coding RNA. The record is from Ensembl. Lineage: Eukaryota; Metazoa; Chordata; Actinopteri; Cypriniformes; Cyprinidae.
CAAAAUCUCUCCGACAGAAUGAUCUGCUUUUAGACGCUUUUUUUUGUCUGAUUAUAAGAUGUAACAUACACAACAAGCUGUUUACAGACAGAAACACCAUCAUAUAAAGCACAUAAAUUUAGAAUAAAAUAAAAUGCUUUUAAUAUACAAUAUACAAAACAACUUCUAGUUCAGUGAUCAUUGAAAAAUUUUGGAAUAAAUAGUAUCUGGUUUUGUUUUAAUUAUUUGUUUAAUAUCUCUGGUCCAGCAAAUGGUACAAUAACACAUGUGAAAUUAAAUCAAAGCUUAAAGUUGUGUGAAUAAAUAAAUAAAUCCAUUGUCAAAAAAUAGUUUUAAAAGAGGAAAGCACCAAAGUGAAAAAAAAGAAAGAAAAAAAAAGUGGUGUGAUAUUUGUGGGCGUGGGUUGUUCAUCCGUCUUGCCAGCGCUAUGUGAGUUGGGGGAUUCGCGUUGAUGAUAGAUAAGAAGAUCAGAGUUUGUUCGGUUAGGUUUUACAGCAACAUCAAGUUGUUUUACAAUAUGAUGCUCUUCGCUGUAGUAACGUGUUGGAUUGGCAUUACUGCUGGUGCUGCGGUGGAGUCGCUAACGGUGUCUGAGGGGGGAAACCUGACCAUCUCUAUUCACAUUGAGAAGUGGGACAGAGACCCUCAGGUUUUGGUGACCCUUCUCAAAGGCUCCUCGCAGGAACCGAUAGCUCAGGUGAUUUGUCAUAACGGAGCCUGUGAACAAAAGAGCUGGAGAUCUGGAGUUUCUCUCAUAUCUGUUGGACAAAAUAUGACUCUGAUCCUGAUGAACAUCAGCUACAAUCAAACAGGACUUUACAAGAUCUACAAACUGAGCAGCAAACUGCCCGAAAACAAGAUUUACAACGUUGCCGUGUAUCAGCCUCCACUCAGGACCAUCAGCCCAGAACAACCAGCAUCUGCUGUGUACAGUGAAUCAUUCACUGCAGGAAUAAGCUCAGCUGCAGUGCUCCUCGCUUUAGUGCUCAUCAUUGCUGCUGUCGUUGGUGUCAUUUAUAGGAAACACAGGAAGACAACUUUUGACAAAGUGCCACAAGAGACAGACACUGAAGCCAGCAUGUGACAUAAAUGAUCAUGCCACGUACUUAUAAUUACUGUAUUAUUGCAAGCUCAUCCAGUGCAGGACUUAGCUGAAUGGAAUAAGAAGGCUCGACUAUAAGGAAUCAAAUGGUCGUUUCACUCACUGAGGAGUUUUACCACUGGUGCUGUUUUCUCAAGAGAUUCCAGGUGAAUCUGCUGGCUUUGAGCGGCAGCUACUGGCACUACAGCUGUUAAUUAUAAUGAUGAUUAUGUAUCUUUGAACUCCACAAGAUCUUAGGGUGUCCCGCUUGUCAGUGUAUUUAUUUAUUUAAUUAUUUUUUGGCAUAAUAAUUAUGGCUCCAAGCACUUAAGAUUGCCCACUAGAUGGAGCCAAUGGUUUAGAAAUCAUGUUUAAUCUAAUAGUUUAAUAGUCUAAUAGCCGUCAGUAUGAUUGGCUAACCAAUGCUUUUAUUUGUAGCACCAUUGUACACUAAAAAUACCUCCUUUGUUUUAUAUAAUUAAUUUCCAAAGAAAAAGCACACUUAUUUCAUUUUGGCAUAUAAAGGCAUAUAAAUUGGUAGCUGAACUAUUUAUUAGUUUUUAAGGAUUCAUACAGUUAAAUUCAGUUUAAGUUUAUUUGUAUAGUGCUUUUCAUGAUGCAAAUCGUUGCAAAGCAGAUUUACAGAAAAUUUAAAUGUUUCUACAUUAUAUUUAUAGAAGCUUAUCAGUGUUGACCAUCUCAUGUUGAUGUCCGUAUGGCAGAAAUGUAAGGUAAAAAUCAAGCAGUUAGUUAAUGUCCUGUAAUCAAACAGAUGAACACUAUUGACAGCAAUGAUUAUAUGUUGAGAUCAAACUUAUAGCAAAAUUUGGUAGUUUUGUAUGUUGUCUGAGGGGUUGGCAUCAUCUCUUCUUGAGUGUUUCGGUCAUCUUAGGUCUUUGUAAGGACUGGAUCCAGACUGAAGUUUGUGUAAUUCCUUGUUACCACGGAAACAAAGAAGGAAAUAGAUAAAAAUUAGCGUACCUGCUUUUCCAACUAAGCAAAAAAUUAUGUAUUCAACCCAAGCAGAAGAAUGAAAAUGUGCAUUUGAUCAACUGUAACUGAAGUACAAGGUAAUUAGAUAUAUUAUUUGAAUGCUUGGCUAAAGCGACGUGUCUUUAAUCUAGAUUUAAACAGAGAGAGUGUGUCUGAACCCCAAACAUUAUCAGGAAGGCUAUUCCAGAGUUUGGGAGCCAAAUGUGAAAAAGCUCUACCUCCUUUAUUGGACUUUGCAAUCCUAGGAACUACCAAAUGUUGCGUGAUGGAUUGUACUGUAGUAGAAGUUAGGUACGCAGGAGCUAAACUAUUUUUAGGGCCUUAAAAGUAAGUAAUAUUUUGUAACUGAUACUGAACUUAAUAGGCAGCCAGUGCAGAGACUGUAGAAUAUGGGUAAUAUGAUCAUAUUUUUAGACCUGGUAAGCACUUUACAUAUACUGUAGCACAUUCUCUUGUCAUUUACUUGUCAUAAACAAUGACAGCGAUUAUUGUAGCUUCUGUGAUCUCUGAGAAGUAAGCUAGAUUAAGUAAGCUAGAUAGAUAUAUUAGAUUUAAACAUUCAGUUCAGUCUAACAUGAAGGGUGAGCGAUUUCCAUGUGAAAAUCAGCUGCUGAUUUUGGGAUCAUGUGUGUGAUCGUGUGAUUUGUUGAUGUUUCUUCAAACCCUAACUUGAAGUGGAGAUUCAAGAUUGUUUUAUCUGAAAAGCAAUUUUAUGACUUAAUCAUUAAUAUAAGCUAUUUUGGGCCAAAAUAAUUGCCACUUGAGACUUUAUUUGUUGUUAUUGUGUAAAUUGUGAGUAGCGUGUUAAGAUAUUUUAUUGUCUGUGCAUUCUGUUGAUGAUUUGCAUUGUAUUUAUUUUAUUUAAAAGAUAUCCAAGUGUUACUCAAGGAUGUACAUUUUGUUAAAAGUCUCUGAAUACAGGCAUUUACAACUGUGUAUUUCUUACAAUCUGCAUACAACAAAUACAACAUACAACAAAAUGUCUUCAGAUUAAAACUGGUUAUGCAGAGUUGACAGUUGAAUGGACUGGAAGAUGGAAGCAGAACCAAAACAGUUGAAAGAUAAAAAAAAAAAAGAUUAAAUAAAAACAUUUUUAUGACCUUAAAUGCUUUCCUC